RNAcentral lists this ribosomal RNA (911 nucleotides) under uncultured bacterium. RNAcentral describes it as "bacterial SSU rRNA". It matches the Rfam family "Bacterial small subunit ribosomal RNA", at positions 8 to 922 of the family's 1533-position model. The record is from RNAcentral.
AGAGUUGAUCAUGGCUCAGAUGAACGCUGCGGCGUGCUACACAUGCAAGUCGAACGAAACUAUUGGAUUGAAGUCUUCGGAAUGAUUGAAAAUAAGUUUAGUGGCGGACGGGUGAGUAACGCGUGGAUAACCUGCCUUUACACUGGGGGACAACAGUUGGAAACGACUGCUAAUACCGCAUAAGCGCACAGUACCGCAUGGUACGGUGUGAAAAACUCCGGUGGUGUAAGAUGGAUCCGCGUCUGAUUAGCUAGUUGGUGGGGUAAUGGCCUACCAAGGCGACGAUCAGUAGCCGGCCUGAGAGGGUGAACGGCCACAUUGGGACUGAGACACGGCCCAGACUCCUACGGGAGGCAGCAGUGGGGAAUAUUGCACAAUGGAGGAAACUCUGAUGCAGCGACGCCGCGUGAGUGAAGAAGUAUUUCGGUAUGUAAAGCUCUAUCAGCAAGGAAGAUAAUAACGGUACUUGACUAAGAAGCCCCGGCUAACUACGUGCCAGCAGCCGCGGUAAUACGUAGGGGGCAAGCGUUAUCCGGAUUUACUGGGUGUAAAGGGAGUGUAGGUGGCAUGGCAAGUCAGAAGUGAAAGCCCGGGGCUCAACCCCGGGACUGCUUUUGAAACUGCCAAGCUAGAGUGCAGGAGAGGUAAGUGGAAUUCCUAGUGUAGCGGUGAAAUGCGUAGAUAUUAGGAGGAACACCAGUGGCGAAGGCGGCUUACUGGACUGUAACUGACACUGAGGCUCGAAAGCGUGGGGAGCAAACAGGAUUAGAUACCCUGGUAGUCCACGCUGUAAACGAUGAAUACUAGAUGUUGGGGCGCAUAAGCGCUUCAGUGUCGCAGAUAACGCGAUAAGUAUUCCACCUGGGGAGUACGUUCGCAAGAAUGAAACUCAAAUGAAUUGACGGAAUCUC